This is a non-coding RNA of Pogona vitticeps (central bearded dragon), 1286 nucleotides long. NCBI's taxonomy places the organism in Eukaryota, Metazoa, Chordata, Lepidosauria, Squamata, Agamidae. The record is from RefSeq and is a predicted model, not a curated record.
UGAAACCAAUUACCUUUUAAAGUGACCAGCUCUCCAACACUAGAGGCAUUCAAGACAAAGUUAGACAGCCAUUUGUCAGAUGUACUUUGACUUGGGGUCCUGCAUUGAGCAAGAUGUUGGACUUGAUGGCCUUAUAGGCCCCUUUCAACUCCAUUGUUCUAUGAUUAUAUGAACAACUCAGAUAAAUAAUUCUCUCAUAAUCUCUCUCUUUUAAGUAGGCUGACUCUGAAGAACAUCUAAAAUACAAAAACUGAUUUGUUACCAGUAAUCAAGGAAAAAAAUGAAAAUGUUUCCUAGAAACAAACUACCAGUACACUCUUCAAAGCAUUGAUUUUUCAUUAAUCAGAUACAGGAAAAAUGCUUAGAGCAUGCUUAAAACAAAAGAACAACUUAUCCAGAAACAUACCAAAGUAUCCAGUCUCAUACAGAAUGACCAAGACAUCACAUAAUCUUUUAGCACUUUUGGAAGAAAUUUUAUUUUUGGUCUAGCACUGAUGAAUUCAGAGGACCGCACUCCUUUGCAGCCCAAGGGAGAGUGCAUCUACUCGGCCAUAGAUUCCACUAUGUUCAGUGGAGCUCAAUUUCAAGUACAUUGAUGGGGGGGUGGGAUCUGGAGCGGAAUGAUUUGCACUGAUGUAAAGUAGUGACUAAAGGGCUGAUUUACAAAAGAGGACGUACCCUUCAAAUCACAUUCCAGAAAUUAGUAUACUAUGUGAUAUUAAACUACUGUUCGGGUCUGCAUUUCCAAUAUGGAGAUGAUUACUGAUGUGUCCUCAAGGGCUGCAAGGACUAUGAGAUAAUAUAAGAAGGGUCAUGCUUGUUUUCUACUCUGUUCUGUUGGAAGAUAGCUAACCUCAGGUGGCUUUUCAACACAGCUUUGGAUUCCACGUUUGAGAUUAAUGUAAAUAUUUUCUCCUUGGUGGAAAAAGAAGGGCAAACAUGAUAUAUUUUAGAGGAAACAGCAAGGGCUGUCAGGAGGUUGCAUUCUUCUCUCCAUGGAAAAAUACCACACCUAAGGUUGCAGGGCCUCAGGCUUUAAGCUUCAUCCUGUUAGGCAUAUUCAGAAGCAGUCUUGUCUUUAAUAUUACUGUGUAUAUGCUCUAUAGCUGCUGCUGUUCUAAUUCAAAUGUUAAUAUUUUUUUUGCUUUUUUUGUCUUGCUUUUGGUGCAGAUGUCCUGAAUGAAUGAUCAUGAGACAUUUCAUUUACUGCUAAAUGAACAUUGUGAACUGGUAUCUAAGAAAGUAGCUCUAUGUAUAGGCCAAUAUUAAAAUAUUAAUUAUCUUUU